GGCCCAAACGGACCCUUUGCAUAGGGGCAGUCCUUAUUCCGGGACUCCGCUGGACAACGCCGCUAACCGCGCCCGUUGGACUAGAGCCCGUUGAGACUUCAAGCCUGAGCAAUUUUCCUAGGAAUAUUUGAAAAUGCACUUCAAGGUGCGGAAGGCUAUAAUUUGG
Rhipicephalus sanguineus (brown dog tick) is the source of this 166-nucleotide long non-coding RNA. RefSeq lists it as uncharacterized. Lineage: Eukaryota; Metazoa; Arthropoda; Arachnida; Ixodida; Ixodidae. The record is from RefSeq and is a predicted model, not a curated record. The transcript has 3 exons.